AGUGGCAACACAAUAGAAGAAACAUAAUGGAGUCAGGAGUGCCGAUGCAAAGGCAACACUCCCAACAACAACAACUGAACACACAGAAGCAAUUAGACCGUUCUGGAAAACAAAAUUAAUAAGCUCCAACGCAUAUAGCUUGAACACAUCACCACCGCAUACUGCAUGUUUGGGGCACUAGAGGCUGUGACACAGCCUGCACGGCUCCAACAAACCAACCCCCAAGAAGAAGAGAUGGACUCUCAUGAGAAUAUGAUACAUUCAGAUUUUGGGGAAGUGUUACCAAGGGAGAUGUAUUUGGCAGCCAAACACUGGGCAACUCAGGAAGAUUAAGCAGUACCGGGCAGGGGGACCACGAUGUGAAUGCCUUUGAUGAGAACAGCUGCAGCCUGCUGGCCAGUGUGAGCAUUGCCAACUGCCUUGAAGUGGUGCGCUUCCUCCAUUUCUUCCCACAAUUUCACCGCAAUAUGACAGAUCAUCUGGUCUGGGGGUACACCUCUCAUGCACGCUGCCAGGAUGGGACACAGGGAGGUGAUGGUGGAGCUACUCACAUAUCUAGACCCAGCUGACCUUGUGUGACCUGCCCUGACCUAGAAGCAGGACUUCAGUGACCUUGUCAACUACAAGUACAACUCCAGGGCACCACUUUUCCUGUGCAUUGGCCACUCUUGAGUGUCUUUUGGGGGUUGAGUGCGUAUUGAUUAGGCUUUUGGAGGUCCAGCGGCACACUGCACACUGCUUUCAUAAACGUGUGUGCAGAGUGGAAGACAGAGAGGGGCAAGGAUGGAGAAUGCUUCAACAUGCACAGCAUCAUUGGUUCAUGCUUUCUUUUUUGUGGAAAGUAGUGCACACAGUUUUAACCAAAGGAUUAUAUGUCAUCAUUCAUAUUCAUAGAUUUCAUGAUUUAACAUUGUGUUGACCUUUGUGCAUCAAAUCACUUCAUUACAUGUAAGCAUAUAUGUAGCUCCAAGGAGUAACAGUUUAUGAAAUUUGUAAUGUAUAAAAAGUGACAUAAGAGGUCUUGCAUUAUGAAGAUUUGUUUAAAGGUCUUUGUCUAUUAGCAUGAUCUAGUGCUGUCAGUCUUAAGAGUUCAGAUUGUACAGACAUGAACCAUUGUCCAUUGCACUUCCUGCAGAUGGAAUUUUAGUCAACACUGUAAGGUGUGUAGCUUUGUGGGCAGGUGUGCCAGUCAUUCCUUGAUAUCAAUGUUUUUCAUUUAAGGAAAAAAUUAUGUGUGUAAUUAGGUUUAUAUACAUUUUUGAUUGAGAAUGUUUAGAUUGAUUAAAUAGUAAGUUUCUCAACUUUAUAGACCUUUGCUGUGUAGGAGUUCAGGGGCCGUAUUCUAUAAACCGUCAUAGCUAAUGAUGUGAUCACAGUAAGACAAAAUGGUGCAUUUUAGACUAAGUCCCUCUAUGACAGGCUUUAACCUUGUGACUCGUCAUAAGUGCCAAGACAGGGUUCACCUUGUUGUAGCGCCGCCAACCACCAUCUUAAAAACUUUUGUCAACCAUAACACUUGUCUGUAGGUACCGUAGCAUGAUCCUCGACAGUUUUUAUUAUUAAUUAAUGAUAAAUAUCUGUAAUGAUGACUAAAUGAUGUCCUUCUUUGAUGCAGUAAGUUACCUUUAUAGAUAACUGCUAACAGGAGUACAAUCAGUUUCCCUCAAACUCAAAGAAACCUUGCCCUGCGUGGCCUGCAUGUGUCAUAUGUCGGGUGUAAUCUUCUGUUUGUCAUGUUUCUUUUGCCUGGAUACACUGUCUAACUAUUCAAAAUCAUUUAAAUUGUAGGAAAUUAUGACAAGGAGCUAUUUGUUUCUAAAAAUAUAUAAAGUUGACCAACAAUGGAGUGAUGGUUAGGCAUUCAGUGAGACGUUGCUAACUGUGUAGAAUGCGGCCCCAGAAUGAUGGUCUGUGUUUUUUGUAUUUAUGGUGACAGUAUAGUGUUGCAAGGGAGAACAUGCUGUUCGAGAGCAAUGCCAUUGUAAAAUGCUUAAAAAAUAAUUUUCAAAAGUUGAUAGUUCCUUGUAGACUUUUGCAAUGAAAAUGCUUUCAAAAUAUUACCCUUAUGUUCUUAAAGAUUAUGUGGUAUUAGACAAAUGUAUGGAUGGCAAUGAUAGGUGGAAUUAGGUAAACCUGUUCAUACAGAGACUGCUGCCAUGUAUGUGUAGGCCUUAUAAUAAUGAUAGGUGGAAUGAAAUAGACACAUUCAUACAGGGACUGCUGCCAUAUAUGUGGAGGCUUCAUGGUCCCUCUUGCAACUUUCCUCAUUUUAGUUUCUCUUAUACUUGAAAAUUGCAUGAAUUAUUCUAAGUUGAAAAUGAGUCAAAAAUUUUGGUAGAGUUUUCAGAGACAUUACAUAAAAAUGCGAUGUAAAAGUUGUAAUAAAUCGUACAAAUUGUGCUAUUCCACUGUAAGAAAUUAUUCUAAGUGGAAAAUUUCGCAGUUUUCAGAGAUGCUGUACAAAAAAUUGUGUACAAAUUCUGCUAUUCCACUAAAAAAUUAUUCUAAGUCGAAAAUUUUGGCAGAGUUUUCAGGUGUUGUACAAAAAAUUGUGUACAAAUUCUGCUGCUAUUCCACUGUAAAAAAUUCUAUUGUGUACAAAUUCUGCUAUUCCACUGAAAAAUUAUUCUAAGUCGAAAAUUUUGGCAGAGUUUUCAGAGAUGCUGUACAAAAAAUUGUGUACAAAUUCUGCUAUUCCACUGUAAAAGAUUAUUCUGUUGUGUACAAAUUCUGCUAUUCCACUGUAUUAAGUUGAAAAUUUUGGUAGAGUUUUCAGACUGUGUACACAAAGAUUGGUUGGAUAAAUAAAAUGGGAAGGGAAACUC
RNAcentral lists this long non-coding RNA (2825 nucleotides) under Portunus trituberculatus (swimming crab). RNAcentral's name for it is "uncharacterized LOC123519009, transcript variant X2". The record is from RNAcentral. Lineage: Eukaryota; Metazoa; Arthropoda; Malacostraca; Decapoda; Portunidae.